Molecule: RNA transcript, 6076 nt
Organism: Ctenopharyngodon idella (grass carp)
Lineage: Eukaryota; Metazoa; Chordata; Actinopteri; Cypriniformes; Xenocyprididae
Exons: 11
Source: RefSeq, a predicted model, not a curated record
CAAACUGUUUACAUCCUUUUCUCACAAUUUCGGCUAACAAGCAAAUUUAGGGUAUAAAAUUAAAAUAAAAUAAAUAAAUUUAACUAAUUUAUAUCUCUAUAUUACUCUCUGUUGGUGGUUGAAAAUGGGACAAACAGUUUUUGGGACAAACAAGAUUUUGUUUGAGGAAAUCACAACCUCAGCCCAGUUUCAGCAUGAGACAUUUCAGCAAAACGCAUUGAGACAGCAGCCACAAGCAACACUUUCCCAGGAAAGAGGGAUGUGUUUCUCUCUGAUCUGUUGUGGGUGGAUGCUGCUUUCUUCAGUUUUCGCUUUUGGCAAUGCGGCAGUAAAUCGCACUACAACUUUAUUUGUCAAUCAUGGACAGUCUGCCAAAAUUCACUGCAACUACAGACGAACAAAUGACACAGAAAUCAUGACAGUGAAUCUUCAAACAAUAAAUGGUACACUGUGUUACAUGCACAUGCGUUCAUGGGAAAAAACUAGCUGUAAUGAUCACAUCAGAUUCAUAUGGAUUAAUAAGACUAUGGAAAUAUCAUUCGAGCUAUUAAAUUUGCAAAUUCAGGAUACCGGCACAUACACCUGUACUGUGAAGAGGAUUGCAAAACCACCUGAAGAGGAACUGGGAGUAGAAAGAGUUCAAGUUAUUGUACGUCCCGUCUUGUCUCUAUCCUGUGUGAAGAGGCCUGAUGGAUCUCCCAUGAUUCUGUGCUCUGUGGGAUUUUAUCACGAUUCUCUUGAACAGCUGUGGAUCAGAGAUGGAGACAUCCUCAACAGUUCAUACUCAAACAAAUCAUUCAAUGGAUCCUUCAAUCAGAAAUCAUACCUUAUACUGCCGCCACAAACCUUCAAUGACACAAUCUACUCCUGCUGGGUAAACCACUCGUCAUUAAACAAACCACUUGUGGCCAAUUUAUCAAGCUCUGUCUGCUAUGAACGAGGGGGUGUACCUGUGAAUAUGGUGUUUAUCAUCUCUUCGAUUUUGGCUGUCUUUUUGAUCAUUGCAGUCAUGUUCAUUGCAGUCAUGUGUAAACAUUACAGAGUGAGUUUCACACCUGAGCCUGUCCUUCAUGCUCACCUGCAGACUGAGAUGUUGUAUUCAACACUGGGUAACCAUCAUCCAGUUCCAUGCAACCCUGUUGGAGUCCGCUAAUCUCCACAAUAAGCACUGAAUGAAGACAUUUUACAAUGACAGAUCUCUGUGUAUUCACUCUAGUACAAUUAUACAACAGGUAGUCCAAGUCUUCCAAUUUGAUUGGCCAAGUAUAGCAAUCCAAAAGUGCAUAAGUGGAAGAGAUUUGGCGAGUCUUUCAGCAGGUUACAUCUAUACGCCAGGCAACAAUGUUUUUUUAUAAACAUUGUUAAACAACUUAUUUGUUUAGAAACACUGAAUCAUUCUGGAAUGAAACAAGCAAGUCUUUGAAUCAUUCACUCAACCAAGUGAUUAAAAAAAACCUGAUUCAAUUAGCAACAAGACAAGUGGUUGUUAUUAAAAGUGAGGCAUUGAAUUCACUUAUGAACUGAUUUGUUCAAACAUGAUUCAUUCAGGAACAAAACAAGUGACUUUUUAUGGGUGAUGCACUGAAUCAUUCACUCAACCGUUUUGUUCAAAAAACAGUGAUUCGUUCAGUUACUUAAAGGGUUAGUUCACCCCAAAAUGAAAAUUCUGUCAUUAAUUACUUACCCUCAUGUCGUUCCAAACUCGUAUGACUUUUGUUCAUCUUUGGAACAUAAAUGAAGAUCUUUUCGAUGAAAUCUGAGAGCUUUCUGUCCCUCCAUAGACUGCCUUUGCAACUACCACUUUGACGCUUCAAAAAGAUCAUAAAGAAAUCAGAAAACUAAUCCAUGUAAAUUGAGUGGUUUAGUCCAAAUUUUCUAUUUUUAUUCGCUUUUUAUGAUAAAAAGAUUUAAUUUAGGCUUUUAGUCACAUGUAAACAUUGAUCAGCAAACAUAAACAGAAGCUCAACCGAACAUGAAUAACGCACAAGAACAAACCUCUUCCAGAAGCUCAAACGUGCUGCAUAACACACGAGAAUGAACCUCAUUGGUUAGAUCAAGUUGCAAAGGCAGUCAAUGGAGGAACAGACAUCUCUCCAUUUUACAUCAAAAAGAGCUUCAUUUGUGUUCCAAAGAUGAACGAAAGUCUUACGGGUUUGGAACAACAUGAGGAUGAGUAAUUAAUGUCAGAAUUUUAACUUUGGGGUGAACUAACCCUAUUGUAUAACUAACGUAUUAUUUAUUGAGCGAAAGCAAACAUUGCAAUCGUGCAGUUUGCAGCACAGCUCUGAUUAUCUGCAACUGCUUCACUACUGCUCUUUUCCUGCAGUGUUCAUUCAAUCAGUCUGUAGAUUUUGGAAAGUCUGUGUUGGCAAAUUUCACAGAAAAUCGCAUAGUGUAUGAUGGGAUUCUGACUAAUGAUUCCAUCCAGUUGGAGGAAACGUGGUUGAUAUUUUGAGCCAAUUUCAGAACACAAUUUUUUUCAGUUGUCAUGCAGCUGCUAGCAUCGAGCGUUCACGGCAUGUCGUAAUUACCGUAAUUUCGAGAUGACAACACGUGAUGCUGUUCACAUCGCCGGACUGGGAAUUUUGCAUUUCUAGGGCAACACUAUCAAUGCCUAAAUAAAUCUACAGCAGUCAGGUGGUACAACGGUCACAUGGUACAAGUAAGAGCUCUCAGAAAGUUGUAAUUAUGAGCUCUACGAGGACUUGAACGCUUUUUUACAAGUUUAAAUCUCAUAAUUACUCAUAAUGGCGUGAACAUACCUUGUGGUCCUCAGUCAUUUAGAGUACUCUUCUCUUCUGAGUUCUCUUCUCUACGUUAGGGCAGAAAAAACUGUCACUUACAUGAGAUAACAGUAAUAGAGAAUGUACAACAAUUCAGUGUUUUAAUCAUAUCCUGCCCUGCUUUUUUUUUUCUUUUUUUUUUUGAGAAGCUAUGUCACUGGAAUAUACGUCACAAUAGGGAAGAAAAGACUAUUGAAACCUCCAUUUCAUGGCGACUUUAAGACUAGGCUACCACCUUACCAAAACACAAACAAACUUAACAUAGUGCAAAAACAUUUCUUCACAUCAAUUGCAUGAAUAAAAGGAUGGCAAGCUUCAUCAGAUGGAUUUCAUGAGAUUCUUUGCUGCUCUGAGGGGUUUUACCCUUCUUCUCUGGAGCUGGUGUGGAUGAGAAAUGGAGAAUUUCAGAACAUCUCUCACACAUACAUCAUUAACAAAACUAACCCAGAUGGGUCAUUCACCCUUCAUUCAUAUUUGAAUGUAUCUGACUUACAUGAGAUAACAGUAAUAGCAAACCACAACAAUUCAGCGAUUUAAUCAAGUCCUUCCCUCCAUUUUUCUUUUUUGAGAAGCCGUGUCACUUGAAUAUACAUCACAAUAGGGAAGAAAAGACUAUUGAAACCUCCACCUUACCAAAACACAAACAAACGUAAUAUAGGGCAAAAACAUUUCUUCACAUCAAUUGCAUGAAUAAAAGGAUGGCAAGCUUCAACAUGCGAAACUAAACAUUAAAAAUAGCACUGUAUAAAUAAACACAAAGAAAACUUCCUUUUCAACUGCAACUGAAACUUGUGUGCAACUGCAGGCAGUAAUUCAGUUUGAGGACACAGUCAAUGCACUGACUUUGUGAACUUUGUAUAACUCAUUCUUUUUAUUACAUUUUCACACGUGACCUAAAUGACAGCUUCCCUGCAUUUCACGUGCAUACAACCACGCUGUGGUUAAAAUAACUAGACCUCACCGCCUCUUCAGCGUGUGAAGAUGCUCUACAAAAGAGGUCUUGGUGCAGCUAGUUAUGAGCAAAUGAGGUCUGCAAGACAUUUGGUUUAAACAUUUAAGCUCCCUUGCACUUUUAGACAUUGUCAAACAGCUAGGUCAUGAUGUUACUUCUCCAUUGUAGCUUGGAUAAUGAGUAAUGCCUCUUAUAUUAGUCCCCUCCAAUCAGUGAAGGCCUUAAAAAAGGACAUUGUGACUGGCUGCUCCCUGGAUGAAUACAUAUCAACUUUGUAGGUUGUUUGUUUAACUUAAUGGGAAACUCAUAGUACUCUUUUAAUUAUAGAUUUUUUAUUUAUUUUUUAUUUUUUUUAAAAAAAGCUUUAGUUUAUUUUUCUUUCAGUCUACAAAUUAAGCGUUUUCUCAGAUUGCCUCAGUCGGAUUGGUUGAGCAUGUUUCUGACAUGACUAAACUUAGUCGCCACCUCAAACGAACAUCACUUCUUCAUUUGCACCAUCAUGUGUUAGAACAGCAAGUACUUGCAAAAUGCAAAAGAGGGUGGAGUUUCCAAAAUAUGAAAUGGUGAGAAUAUGGGAAUUUCAUGUUAAAAUAAUAAUAUAUCUAUGCAAAAAUAUUUUUUUGUUGAUGGUGAAUUUCGUAAAUAGAUUGAAACAGCUUUUGUUUUCUUACGUUUUUCAUUCAAAUAUGAUACAUGUUUUGGUAAGUUUUGUGAAGCAUAGCUAUAGAGUAAUUCAUGUGAUGUUUGUAGUAUUGAAAUGUAUCAUUUUGUGGAAAGAUAUUCUUGAAUGCUUGAUUCUGAUCGGUCAAUUGUGGCAUUCUAUUUCCAAAUAUAUUUUAAAAAAUGCUGUAUAACUACAGUCGGGCUUGGCAAGCGGUCUCACACUUUUCGUGCUAAUUUCAUGUAUUUUGUAUCCUCUCAUUUAACAAUUGCAGUUCAAAUCAAUAUUUCAUAUUUAUUUAUUUAACUAAGCACCUAAGCAGGUACAGUCAUUAUUGCAGAAACAAACCAAAACAAAAUAUAUUUUUGUGUAAUAUGUAUCACUCUAUUUCUCUGUCUUUUCUUAAUAGAUAUCAUCAAAAUGUAAUUCUGUGAAUACAUGUGCACUGAUGCUGCUGUCCUUGUUUUCUGUUGUUAUAGCUGGACAUACAGAAUUCAUUGGCAUCUCAGUUCAAACUGUUCAUCAAGGAAAGUCAGUCAAUAUCAGCUGUAACUACAAACCAUCAAAUGACACUGAAAGAUUCACAGUGGACCUGGAAAUUAAUAAUAAAUCAUGCUCCGUAAUGAAUAAUAUCAAAUCAUGGACAUAUCAGUCAUGUCAAGAUAACAUUAGAUUCAUUUGGAUUUCAAAGACUGUUGAAAUGUUAUUUGAGGUGUCAAAUCUACAGAUUAAUGAUACUGGCAUUUACAAAUGUGUUGUGAUAAGAACCAUACCACCUCCUUCUGUGCCUUUGGGAGAAGAAAGAACAUUUGUUCAAGUGAUUGCACACCCCAAGGUGUCUGUGUCACACGUAAGAGCAUCAGAUGGAUUUCAUGAGAUUCUUUGCUGCUCUGAGGGGUUUUACCCUUCUUCUCUGGAGCUGGUGUGGAUGAGAAAUGGAGAAUUUCAGAACAUCUCUCACACAUACAACAUUAACAAAACUAACCCUGAUGGGUCAUUCACCCUUCAUUCAUAUUUGAAUGUAUCUGACUGUACAAACUACUCGUGUUGGGUAAAUCACUCAUCCCUGAGCCAACCAAUGAUUCUCCACCUGUCUCCUGCUGACUGUUAUGAGAAAAGAGAUAAAAAUAUAUGGAUAACUCUGGGGACUUGUGUGCUGCUGAUUCUUGCAAUACUGAUUAUCACAGUCCUGUGUGAGCGUUUCAAAAGAGCACGUCGGCGGUCUGUGUCUCCUGUAGGAGUGAGUGUCACACCUGAGCCUGUCCUCCACGCUCACCUGCAGACUGAGAUAGUGUAUUCAACACUGGGUGACCAUCAUCCAGUUCCAUGCAGCCCUGUCGGAGUCCGCUCAUUUCCACAAUAAACACCAAAUGAAGACCUUUUACAAUGAUCGAUAGCCUGAUCCAUGUCUAUAUCAUUCACUGACGAGAUGCCAACUUGUGUAUGUAAUAUAGUUACAUGAUUUUUCUUUCUUUUUUUUUUUUUUUUUUACUUCGCUUAACAUUUUGAUUGUAUAUAUGUGUGUUGACAAAAUAUAUGACACUGAAAAUACCAUGAGGCCUCUGUUAUUUGCAACUUCAGCACUUAAAAACUUAAUGAAAUUGUUUGCUGAGUGCAGUUUUCUCUCCUGUGUUGACGUAUUACCUAUUUAAAUAAUUAUUAAUAAAUAGUUAAUUCUUU